This is a long non-coding RNA of Gasterosteus aculeatus aculeatus (three-spined stickleback), 3715 nucleotides long. The record is from Ensembl. Lineage: Eukaryota; Metazoa; Chordata; Actinopteri; Perciformes; Gasterosteidae.
CCACCCCCCUCCCCCCCCAACCGCGCAACAAUUACCCCUUUUAGGAUCGGCUAAUCCUGAAAUAUGGGCCUGUGACUAAUGGCGGAAUUUAGCAAGAAAUCAGCUCCAGUUUCACCGGCUUUAUUGACUCUAAUGCAGGAUGCAGAUACCUUCAGCUAUGAUGGAUGAGCGUGGGGAUACUGUCAGCCCCCCCCCUCCUCCUCCUCCUGCUCCUCCUCCUCCUCUUUCACUGUUGCCUUUGUGCAGGUGAUAAUGAAAAGUGUCAGAGAAGCAUGUAGCGGGCCCUUUUCACUGGCUCUCGCCAAAAGAAUGAGCCGCCAUGACAACAUUGACGUUGGAGUUUGUUGUUUCACAGGGCGAGGCGCUUCGCAGACGUCCCUCCUCCCUUAUUGUAUCGCGGCCGUCAAUAAACUGCAAUAUUGUGUCUCACUCUUGAGCGUGUGCCAGCCUGCUCCCACAUUCUGCUACAGGGGGGGGGGGGGCGGCGAUUGAGCAUAAAGCCACAAAAGCGGGGUCUUAGUGUACUUUGCUGCACAAACGAGUUAUCAAUCACGCUCUGCAUGCGAGGUGAUGGAUACGCGAGGCGCUUUUAUUUGACAGUGACAGAUAUGGUGCCGAUGAAUGAGUGCAGAUUGCCCGAUAAAUCAACCCCUCAAAUGUUUCAGACUCUGCUAAUCAUGGGCUUUUACUUUGAAGGGAACAAAGUCAAUAUUUGCGUUGUUGCACCUGCAGGGUUAAGAAAAUAAAGAGGGUUCGGGUGAAUACAAAGUUAUCCGACUAAAUCCUCGGGGAGUUUAGUUUGUGAGUGUCAUCAAAUUCCUGGAGACUGAGAUCAGAUCAGAAUGUCGUCGACUUCACUCGACCACUGAAGCGGAAUAAUCUCAAGUGGCAACAAAUGUGGAAUGAAAAUGAAAUUUGCGGCUCAAUCAUCCAUCAAAGUGAUGAUGCACUAGUAUCAGUUUGUGUGAAAAUAUGUGUGGAAACUAGAACUGGAGAAUAAUAUGAAUUUCAUUGUACAGAGUAACCUGUUAAACUGCACAUGCCCAUAAGUCAGGAAUCAUCAGGGACCAGGAAACAUUUAUUGCCAUAAUAUGUGAGACAUACAAGGGAUUUGACGUGGCGGUUGGUGCGUGACAGCAGACAGAACAACAACGGACGACAAGACAACAGUGCACGAGGAAUAAAAUAAAAUAUAAUGCUAUGGGUUAGUUUAAAAAUUAAAGUUUAAAAUGUUUAAAAAUAAAGUGCAAACAGCGGAGCAGAGGGAAGGGGCACAAACAGGUUUUGUCCGGGGUGAGAGGGGUCUACUGUAUAGAGGGGUCUAUGUAGGAGGUCUAUAUAGGGGUCUAUAUAGGGGGUCUAUGUAGGGGUCUAUAUAGGGGUCUAUAUAGGGGGUCUAUAUAGUGGUCUAUGUAGGGGGUCUAUGUAGGAGAAAUAUCUUCAAUCUUGAAUUUAAUACGUAAUAAGUACAUUUUUGUUCUCAUUCCGAGGUGAUGAGAUCAACUUCACAGCAGCUGCUGUGAUAAUAUAAUUAUUAUGUACAUUACAGGUCAUUUAGCAGACGCUUUUUAUCCAAAGCAACUUACAUUACACUUUAAACUCAUGGCUUUUUCACAUUUUUGCCCGGGGAGCAAUUAGGGGGUUAGGUGUCUUGCUCAGGGACACUUGGACAUGGAACAUGGGGCAGCCUGGAAUCGAACCACCAACCUUGUGCUUCCCAGCACACCUUCUCUAACCCCUGCGCCACGACGACGGGAGAUGUUAUUUAGCAAUUUAUUCUUAAAUAUAGUUUGCUUAAUUGUUUGGGUAAUUGGAUCACUAAUGCUGUGGGCACCUGGAGGUUACGUAGCCAGGUGGGACCAGCAUGCACCUGGGUGACAAAUAGUUUUCACCAGUGAGUCAGAGCGACAGAGCGACAUGCACUGCAUGGGAAAGCAGACAAGUUGCGUAUGUGUUGUGGAUUCUGUGGAAUAAAGGCGAAACAAAGGAAAAGAUCGCCCGGACAAUCCGCUUUCUUACUGCGUGAAAGAAAACAAAAACUAGGUGCAGCAGUGGCUCUUUGAGAUGUAAAGAUUAGUUGGUAACAAGGACAAAUGGCCACUACAAGUACGCUAGUAUCAUAAUGUGUGACCCUGUAACUGAUCUAGAAGCAUGAAGAUAUGAAAAUAAUAAAAUGUAGGGUCUGGAAAACAGCUGUUGUUUUGUCCACUAAUAUUUUUGCAUGUCUAAUAUUUUGAGGAUAAACACAUUUUGCUUGUGUGAAAAACACUGUUGGUUAUUUAUAAGUAAGGUUGAUUUACUGGAGGUGUGUCGGAGAAGUUUUAUUCUUUGUCCUGUCAUUGUUCAAACAGCUUCAUCAAAUGUUCUUAUUUCACUGUAAGAAAACACAGUGGAAACAAAGAGGAACACAAAACAAACAACAAAAACAAAAAAGAAGAAUUGUAUAUUUUUUGAUCCUACGAAUCAACACUUAAGGUAAGGUAAAAAUAAUAGAUAAAAAGGUAAUAUAUGAAAUAUAAAAUACCCAAACCUGUUGGAAAACAUAUUUUUUAAUUAAGUAAAAAAUAUAAAACGACAUAUCAAAUAUUACAUAUGAAUGAGCUCAUAACCGGAUCUUGUUUUAUAAAGAUAUUUCCCUUUCGACCGAGUUACAUGCAACUGUAUUACGUAAGUAAGCCGACUUCUGCCAUGAAAGAUGAAAUAAAACUUUUGUCCUGCAGUAAACACCUGCAGGGAACAUGAGCAGAGAGCCGACACGCAUAUUCCUGAAAAGAUGGAAUACAUAUUUACAUCACACACAAGCGGCGUUUGACCGCCUCUGCCACCUGUUUGAUGUCAAACAGGAGAUUCUGAUAAAAAGCCCGGUACCCGUUAUGAAAACGCUGUUGCAUAAAUACAAGUGAAACCCGGCUCUCAGGAGUUUAUCUUAUGAGUAAACAGGUGUAUAUAUUACUCAAACAACAACAGGAGAAUAAUGUUGAGGCAAUAAAUAGUUGACUGCGGAGAGGAUUUACGCCACGAUGAAAUAAAGUUUAUGUGGAGGUUUGAUGCAGGAGUCACGACACCAGAGUUCCUGUGAAAUAAUGCUGAAUUCAAGCAGCACAAUGAGUCUUCUUCUCCACGGAGGGACGGGAGGGAGAGGGUGAGGGAGAGGGGGAGGUGGAGGGGAGAUUGUAUCUUGGCAGUUGCAAAAGCAAACUGUCUGAUGUGACACAUAACAACAUCCAAAGACAACAGCAAUAAGUCACGCUCAUGAGCCCAAAAGGCAAAUAUGAUCAGGUGUUGUUUUAACAGCGAUGCAAAUCAGCCCAAAGUGAUACUUCUGGAACACGUCUCCUGCGUGUCUUCACACGUCCAUUUAAUCCAAACUGCAGAAUAAACUGAAGUUUUAAAUUUGGAUUUAAAACCCCCCUUCCCUCCCCCACGUCCACCCCGUCACCUCAUCCGUCCGUCAGCAGCCUCUUCUGCUCGGUAACAGUUAGGAAUGGUCAUUGGUGUUUAAUGACACUGAAUCCCUCUUUAUUGCUGAUGUUAAGCACUAAUAUGAAGUCAGGCGCUUAGUAAUGACCCCCCAGGGGGGGGUGCGUGGGGGGGGGGGCACUUUGGUGAAGGGGAAUAGUAUUAAAGUGCUGCAGCAGCUGCAGCGCUCUCCGUCCCAGCGGGUUUUAGAAUCACAAUCAGUGCAGAAAAUGAAACAUUACAGUCGAUCGGAGCG